UUCAUCAUGCAUUACCCUAUUUUCAGAAGUUUAUCCUGUUAUCUACUUAGUAGAGUAUUAUGCCGUGUAAAUGUGCUUCUUAGCAAUUGCUUGCAACAUUUAAGUCUUUAGAUGCAUUCUAUGCUUGAAGAAUUGCUGUUUCUGCUCUAACACCGUGCUAAUUCUCCGCAGAAAUUGUCCUUGUGGUGUACAGAUAGGCCCAUUCAUUAUGCCCCUUGGAAGUAAAGGAUCAGGAUGGGAGCAGUGUUGCAGCUCCAGUACUUAUCGGUCAUGGUUGUGCCCACAGAGCCUGCUUGGUGCAUCUGCUUCUCCUUGGGGGCAAGACAUUACCCCAGUGCCAUUCUCUGAUGUGUAAGUCUUCCCCCAUCUUUCCCUAGCUGAUGAGUAAUGGCCUUAAGUUGUGCCAGGGGAGUUUCAAGUUGAAUAUUAAGAAACAUUUCUUCUCAGAAGGAGCGGUGAGGGACUGGCACAGCUGUCCCCGGAGGUGGUGGGGUCACUGAUCAUGGGGAUGUUCUAUAGCCAUGGAGAUGUGGCACUGAGGGACAUGGGUUCAUUGCUUUCAGCAAGCUCUGUUCUUGCCUUUCAGUGGGACCAUUACCACAGUGCAACCUGUCCUUGCUUUGAGCUGCUCUGCCCCACUGAGCGAUCUGGUUCAGCUCAGAGCUUGGGCUUCUCCACUUUUAUUUCCCUGCUCUGUCUCCUUUCCUAUCUCUGGGAGCUUUGAAUUUCUACCCCUGCCUCACAGCUUGGGUAAUUCCCUGCAAAGGGAUUACAUUUUCAGCGUGUUCACAGCUGUAUGUUUGCUCGGAGCAAGUGCCUCCUGUGACUGCCCAAUUGUGGAGUUUCACUCGAGUGGAACAAGUAAUAAGAGAAAUAUGCAGCUCUCCCUGCCUUCAUUGAGCUUCUUAGGUGGCCAGGAGCAAACAGCGUGCCUCCCUCCUGCAAAGCACUUAACUGGGACCUGGGGCUGUGGGAUUGGAGCUAGGAAAAAGCCCAGUGCUGCUUGGGAUGAGGAGAGGAGGAAGGAAAAGCCCUCAUGAGGCUGCUACCCUGAUGUGUAGCCCCAGCACGCAGCAGCAGAGGUGCCCAGGUCAGCUCCACCCCUCCAACAGGAACAAAAUCCCCCCUGGAUGACAGCAGCACCUUCAGCAGCUCUGUUUGCUUCAAAGGAAAAUACAAAUAACACAAUUGAGACAGCGGUGUUGUUCCUUUGAAUUGCUGUUUGAUGCCCUUGGGCUCCACCAGGCUGGCUGGGGUGGGAGGGGAGGGAGGGCAGCCUGUGCAAGCUGCAUCCCAACGAUAGUGUUUUAAUUUCUUCCUCCACUGUGCCUGGUUUACACUUUAACGUGGUUUAAUUUUGAAGUCUCCUCUUUUUUUUUUCCUUUUUUUUUUUUUGCAAGGUGAAUGUCGAGCAGUAAUGUAAUGAAAAGUUGACAGGCACAGAUCUUUUUUAAUAACUCUUAUGUUGUGUAGCUUAAAUUGGUUUAA
RNAcentral lists this long non-coding RNA (1488 nucleotides) under Numida meleagris (helmeted guineafowl). RNAcentral's name for it is "lncRNA (ENSNMEG00000014715.1)". The record is from RNAcentral. Lineage: Eukaryota; Metazoa; Chordata; Aves; Galliformes; Numididae.